UACGUAGGGGGCUAGCGUUGUCCGGAAUCAUUGGGCGUAAAGCGCGUGUAGGCGGUCCGGUAAGUCCGCUGUGAAAGUCGGGGGCUCAACCCUCGAAUGCCGGUGGAUACUGUCGGGCUAGAGUGCGGAAGAGGCGAGUGGAAUUCCUGGUGUAGCGGUGAAAUGCGCAGAUAUCAGGAGGAACACCCAUUGCGAAGGCAGCUCGCUGGGACGUUACUGACGCUGAGACGCGAAAGCGUGGGGAGCAAACAGG
Molecule: ribosomal RNA, 253 nt
Filed under: uncultured bacterium
Lineage: Bacteria
Description: partial 16S ribosomal RNA
Rfam family: Bacterial small subunit ribosomal RNA
Source: RNAcentral